RNAcentral lists this ribosomal RNA (467 nucleotides) under Limnohabitans sp. Its description in RNAcentral is "bacterial SSU rRNA". It matches the Rfam family "Bacterial small subunit ribosomal RNA", at positions 391 to 851 of the family's 1533-position model. Lineage: Bacteria; Pseudomonadati; Pseudomonadota; Betaproteobacteria; Burkholderiales; Comamonadaceae. The record is from RNAcentral.
GCCAUUCCGCGUGCAGGACGAAGGCCUUCGGGUUGUAAACUGCUUUUGUACGGAACGAAAAGGUCUCUAUUAAUACUAGGGGCUCAUGACGGUACCGUAAGAAUAAGCACCGGCUAACUACGUGCCAGCAGCCGCGGUAAUACGUAGGGUGCAAGCGUUAAUCGGAAUUACUGGGCGUAAAGCGUGCGCAGGCGGUUAUAUAAGACAGAUGUGAAAUCCCCGGGCUCAACCUGGGAACUGCAUUUGUGACUGUAUAGCUGGAGUGCGGCAGAGGGGGAUGGAAUUCCGCGUGUAGCAGUGAAAUGCGUAGAUAUGCGGAGGAACACCGAUGGCGAAGGCAAUCCCCUGGGCCUGCACUGACGCUCAUGCACGAAAGCGUGGGGAGCAAACAGGAUUAGAUACCCUGGUAGUCCACGCCCUAAACGAUGUCAACUGGUUGUUGGGUCUUCACUGACUCAGUAACGAAG